RNAcentral lists this ribosomal RNA (497 nucleotides) under uncultured bacterium. Its description in RNAcentral is "partial 16S ribosomal RNA". It matches the Rfam family "Bacterial small subunit ribosomal RNA", at positions 28 to 507 of the family's 1533-position model. The record is from RNAcentral.
GAUGAACGCUGGCGGCGUGCCUAAUACAUGCAAGUCGAGCGAACAGACGAGGAGCUUGCUCCUCUGACGUUAGCGGCGGACGGGUGAGUAACACGUGGAUAACCUACUUAUAAGACUGGGAUAACUUCGGGAAACCGGAGCUAAUACCGGAUAACAUGUUGAACCGCAUGGUUCAACAGUGAAAGACGGUCUUGCUGUCACUUAUAGAUGGAUCCGCGCCGCAUUAGCUAGUUGGUAAGGUAACGGCUUACCAAGGCAACGAUGCGUAGCCGACCUGAGAGGAUGAUCAGCCACACUGGAACUGAGACACGGUCCAGACUCCUACGGGAGGCAGCAGUAGGGAAUCUUCCGCAAUGGGCGAAAGCCUGACGCAGCAACGCCGCGUGAGUGAAGAAGGUCUUCGGAUCGUAAAACUCUGUUAUUAGGGAAGAACAAAUGUGUAAGUAACUAUGCACGUCUUGACGGUACCUAAUCAGAAAGCCACGGCUAACUACGUG